GAGAGAGGGGCCAGGAGGGAGACGCGAGGGAGGGAGCGCGAGGCAAGCCGCGAGGGGGGAGAGAGGGGGAGCCGGAGAGGGGGAGGCGCAGCGCGAGUUGGCCCAGGCCGAGGGGGCCGGGGCGCGGGGAGGGCUAGCCGUGGCGGAAUGUGGGGAGCCCGCGGGCCCGGCGCGGGAGAGGGCUAGGUAGGAGGGGCUGUGGGUGGUGAGGGCAGAUGAGGGGAGGCUGAAGUUUGGGGGCGAGCGGGUCUGUGGCAGAGGUGAAGUGGGAGGAGUUUGGGGGAUCCUGGGGUAGAGAUUGGGAUAAUGGGAUUGGAUAUGAAAGAUGGAGCUGCCUGGGGGCUUUGUGGGUGCCUGGUGAGAAGUGAGAGAAGCUUGGGGUGAGGGAUCUGUGGCAGAGAUGGAGCCAGAUGGGUUUGGGGGCUAUUAUCAGAGAGAAUGGGAUGGAAGUUUGGGGUCAUAAGGAGAGAGAAAAAUUGAAAAGAUGACAUAUAUAGAAAGAUGGGGCUUCUGGAAAAAGUAAAGCUUUUGGGGGUGAUUAGUGUUGACAAAAGAGUCAUAAAUAUAAGAAUUGGGGGUGGGGGGAUGAAGGAAUGCUGGAGAGAGAGAAGUCCAGAGGAAACGUCCGUGAGGAGAAUGGAGGGAACGCGUGAGGAACCUUAAGAAGGGAUGAACGAGGUAGCCUCUGGCAGUCAGUCUGCUCCCGGCCGUGAAGCCAGCACCUCCGCCAGCCCACCACCAGUUCCUUCUCCUGGGCUCCCUCCUGGCCCUCCACCAAGCGGCAACAUCUCCCAGGACAAAGGACACAGGGUGAUUUUUGGCAGCAGAAAUUGGGAAGGCCAGAGAAUGGGAGGGAGGCAGGCUGGCAAGCCGGAAGAGCUGGAGCUGGAGUGUGGAUUAGGAGCCCUCAGUAGAGCUCCAGAUUUGGGGUGGGGGUCGGGUACUUGUGGGGCCAGUCUUGCUGGAGGCUAAGGGUGGGCCCUGAAUUGGCAAGAUCCCACCUGCCUUCAGGGAAGGAAGGAGGUUGGCUCUGGAGCAGCUCAGUAGAUUUUUGUCUCACAAUUCCUUGGGCCAGAUUCAACAAAGUUCUGGGAAUACUCAAAAGCUCUAAACAAGAUUCCAGAGCACUGGGGAACUGGGCGCAGGAACAGGAACACUUCCUUGGCCUGGGAAUGAGUCAUCACUCUGAAGUCCCUUGAAUUGGUUGGCACUCACUUUACCACUCC
Molecule: long non-coding RNA, 1226 nt
Filed under: Pan troglodytes (chimpanzee)
Lineage: Eukaryota; Metazoa; Chordata; Mammalia; Primates; Hominidae
Description: long non-coding RNA NONPTRT003805
Source: RNAcentral